Molecule: ribosomal RNA, 460 nt
Filed under: uncultured bacterium
Lineage: Bacteria
Description: partial 16S ribosomal RNA
Rfam family: Bacterial small subunit ribosomal RNA
Source: RNAcentral
CCUACGGGAGGCAGCAGUGAGGAAUAUUGGUCAAUGGCCGUAAGGCUGAACCAGCCAAGUCGCGUGAAGGAAGAAGGAUCUAUGGUUUGUAAACUUCUUUUAUAGGGGAAUAAAGGUAUCCACGUGUGGAUAUUUGCAUGUACCCUAUGAAUAAGCAUCGGCUAACUCCGUGCCAGCAGCCGCGGUAAUACGGAGGAUGCGAGCGGUAUCCGGAUUUAUUUGGUUUAAAGGGUGCGUAGGGUGGUUUUUAAGUCAGCGGUGAAAGUUUCGGGCUCAACCAUAAAAUUGCCGUUGAAACUGGAAGACUUGAGUGUGUGGGAGGAAGGCGGAAUGCGUGGUGUAGGGGGGAAAUGCGUAGAUAUCACGAAGAACUCCGGUUGCGAAGGCAGCUUACUAGGCCAUAACUGACACUGAGGAACGAAAGCGUGGGGAUCAAACAGGAUUAGAUACCCGAGUAGUC